RNAcentral lists this unclassified non-coding RNA (401 nucleotides) under soil metagenome. RNAcentral's name for it is "partial contains 5.8S ribosomal RNA, internal transcribed spacer 2, and large subunit ribosomal RNA". The stretch from base 1 to 121 matches the Rfam family "5.8S ribosomal RNA", at positions 35 to 154 of the family's 154-position model. The record is from RNAcentral.
GAUGAAGAACGCAGCGAAAUGCGAUAAGUAAUGUGAAUUGCAGAAUUCAGUGAAUCAUCGAAUCUUUGAACGCACCUUGCGCCCCUUGGUUAUUCCAAAGGGCAUGCCUGUUUGAGUAUCAUGAACACCUCAACUCUUGUGGUUUCCCACAAUGAGCUUGGACUGUGGAGGUUUUGUUGGCCCUGUGGUCAGCUCCUCUCAAAUGGAUCAGCUUACCGGUGUUUGGUGGCAUUACGGGUGUGAUAACUAUCUACGCUCGUGGUCGUCUCCAAAUAACCUCCAGUGAUGGAGGUUCGCUGGAGCUUAUAAAUGUCUCUCCCCAGUUAAGACAGCCUUUGAACGUUCGAUCUCAAAUCAGGUAGGACUACCCGCUGAACUUAAGCAUAUCAAUAAGCGGAGGA